GAGUUUGAUCUUGGCUCAGAUUGAACGCUGGCGGCAUGCCUUACACAUGCAAGUCGAACGGCAGCACGGGAGCUUGCUCCUGGUGGCGAGUGGCGAACGGGUGAGUAAUGCAUCGGAACGUAUCCUGGAGUGGGGGAUAACGUAGCGAAAGUUACGCUAAUACCGCAUAUUCUGUGAGCAGGAAAGCGGGGGACCUUCGGGCCUCGCGCUCUUGGAGCGGCCGAUGUCGGAUUAGCUAGUUGGUGAGGUAAAGGCUACACCAAGGCGACGAUCCGUAGCAGGUCUGAGAGGAUGAUCUGCCACACUGGAACUGAGACACGGUCCAGACUCCUACGGGAGGCAGCAGUGGGGAAUUUUGGACAAUGGGGCAACCCUGAUCCAGCCAUGCCGCGUGAGUGAAGAAGGCCU
This 408-nucleotide ribosomal RNA is filed under the name bacterium enrichment culture clone ALO1_GLFRUDD03GQRNF. RNAcentral's name for it is "bacterial SSU rRNA". It matches the Rfam family "Bacterial small subunit ribosomal RNA", at positions 9 to 417 of the family's 1533-position model. The record is from RNAcentral.